UUGGCAAGUGUCAGUGAUGUUUUCUUUGACUGUACUUUUGGGAAUAUUGGUCAUCGCUAGUUGUGGUAUCAUUCCUUGUGUCAGAGGAUGGUUGGUAAAGAUAAUGGCGAGGGUUGCGAACCCUGCCUGGGUUGAGGGAAAUUCUUUAUUCCUAUUAUAUAAUCUGCAUUAUUAUGAUUGCAUUAAGAACAUGUUUUACAGCAUUGUUUACCAGUAAUAUUGUUUACAGGGUUCAUAUUGCAUUGAAUAGGUUUGUUAUCACACUCAUUCUAUUCACAGGUUUAGUUCAUUUUAUACACAUUGCAUAUCUGUGCUUGUUUAGAGUUGAUGUUCUAUCCAAGAGGGUUUUAAGCUUCACUGGUGAGAGUGUCCAGGUGAUACAUGUUGAGGGAAGAUGAGAACAUAGCAGGGUAAAGGUGGACCACAGGUUGCUUUGUUUCUGCUUAGCAACAACUGAGGUAAAUGGUGUUAAAGAUAAAUAUGCAAUAAGUGAACAAGAAAUGUGUGAGGGUGAGCCGGGUGAAACAAAAUGUUGUAGAUAAUGGAAACUUGUCUAACGGGCAUUAACAGUAACCUUUGCAUGUUAUGUAUAUGCUUGAGGCCAAAGGAGGCAUAAAUCCAGAUAGAAAACUUUGAAGUGUGCUUUUUAGCGGAGAUUUAGGCUGACAGGGGGAUGGUGUAUAUUUUACCCGGGGUGUGUUUAAUAAAAAAAAAAAACUAAAAGCGUUGCUCACACACAUAAAGAGUAUUGAGAUUAAAUAAAGUUAAUAUAAUGGAUAGAGCCCAGAACAGGAAAAUACAUAAGUAAAAUCAAAUGUAAUGUUUGAUUUCACUUUUAUUGGGAAACAAUCAGGCUAGAAAUGUGAGUAACCUAUGUUUAAACUGUGAAAACACUCUCCACAUACAUUAAAACUGUGCAACUCUGAGUGGGCCAUGCAAUCAAGCAACUGUUACAUAUCUGUAUUAAACUAGCCAACAUAGACUCACCACCACAUGAUGUUGCCCUGCAGCGGGGGCAGAAAAUCAUUUCCAAACCAGGGAUCUUAUGUUGAUUAUCAUAUUCUUACUUAUGUACACACACACACACAGAAGGGAAAAAUUUCA
Long non-coding RNA from Oreochromis aureus, 1104 nucleotides. The record is from Ensembl. NCBI's taxonomy places the organism in Eukaryota, Metazoa, Chordata, Actinopteri, Cichliformes, Cichlidae.